AAUCAACGCUGGCGGCGUGCCUAACACAUGCAAGUCGAACGAGAAAAUCCGGCUGUAGCAAUACAGUUGGGUGAGUAAAGUGGCGUACGGGUGAGUAACACGUAGCCAACCUACCCUCGAGUGGGGAAUAACCUGGGGAAACCUGGGCUAAUGCCGCAUAACAUCCCGGUGACACAAGCCGCUGGGAUCAAUGGCCCGCAAGGGUCGCUGGAGGAGGGGGCUGCGGCCGAUUAGCUAGUUGGUGAGGUAACGGCUCACCAAGGCGAUGAUCGGUAGCCGGCCUGAGAGGGCGCACGGCCACACUGGCACUGAAACACGGGCCAGACUCCUACGGGAGGCAG
RNAcentral lists this ribosomal RNA (341 nucleotides) under uncultured Acidobacteriota bacterium. Its description in RNAcentral is "bacterial SSU rRNA". It matches the Rfam family "Bacterial small subunit ribosomal RNA", at positions 32 to 351 of the family's 1533-position model. Lineage: Bacteria; Pseudomonadati; Acidobacteriota. The record is from RNAcentral.